This 1439-nucleotide long non-coding RNA is filed under the name Zonotrichia albicollis (white-throated sparrow). Its description in RNAcentral is "lncRNA (ENSZALG00000000242.1)". Lineage: Eukaryota; Metazoa; Chordata; Aves; Passeriformes; Passerellidae. The record is from RNAcentral.
ACAAGCUGGAAAGAGAUUAAUUUUAUCCUGGUUCCUUGUUCUCUUCAGCAGAUGAACAACUGCAGCAUCAGCACAGAUUUCUGCUACUUGAAUUAAUGGAGUGCCACUGCCAGUCACAGGUUGUCAUCCUCUGAGUAAAGCCCUCUAAGAAGAAGAUUGCUGAUGGGCACUGGUGAGAAACAUGAACUGAGGAUUUGCUUGCUGGCUGGGAUGGCAAUUGGAUGGAUGUGCAUUCCAGAUAUAAGCUAAGCCAUGCUCCUUGUGCAACCCAAGAGGAAGGACUUUUAACCCAGCACAGAGCACCGGCCCUGGCUGAGAAGAUCACAGAAAGCUCUCAGCACUCCUCAUCCCAGUGCACCAGCUCUUAUGGACCCCAAAUCAUGGGUGCACAUCUGCCUCAUUUCCCUGCACUGCCUGAUUGUAUUUCCACCCUCUGCCAAGCUGGUGAUGCCACAGGACCUGAAGAGGGAAAGAGUGAAAUUCUGCUUUCACCAAGAUUUUGAAAACCAACCACAUAUGAAGAUGUCAAUUACUCAAAAGGACACGGACCAGGAAAGGCUGUAUAUUCUGGGACACAUCCUCCCAGUGACUGCUUUGUGUUGUAAUAGAGUCUGGCCAGAAAGCUGCCAGAUCUGUCUUGGAUGACUACUGUGUCAAAAGCAUUUUUUAAUGACACAGAUGGAGCACUGAGUCUCCUCCCCACUUCCUUCACUGUUGCCACAUAAAGGUUAAACUGGGCUGGCACACUGCAAAGCCCCAUGGUUUUCAGUCUGUAAAAAAAACUUUGGAAAGAGACUGCUCAGUGUCAUAUGGCUGUUUUAAGAGGAGGAAAUGCACAUGCUGAUGUUUAGCGGUAAUCUGGGAAGAUUUGCAUCUGUUGCAUUUGCAAGGCCAAGUGACUUCCACUAGAUAACAUCUGUUGAAUUUGCAAGGCCAAGUGACGACUAGAAAAUCUAGAAAUACAAGAAAAAGACAAACUGAACCAGGGACAAAAUGAGGAAAUUAGAACCAGCAAGUAAAUUCUAAGUGCAAGGAACUUCUAGUUAUGAGAUCUCCAUUGAGAAAUUCUUCAGUGCAGCUGGCAACCAUUUCUUUCUGCAGCUGAAGUUUCUGAAUGAUAACUUUUUGUGGAGUGUAUCACAGGAAUGUAGAUUGCAAAGGGCAAAAAUCUAGACUGCAGCCACAAAGUGUAUAUCUGAACAGAAGGCAAAAUGCUUCUGGAAUUUGGAAAGGGAUAGAGAGAAGCAGCCUCAACUUCUGGAUGUUUCCUACCUAGUCAUCUUGAUUUCCAGCCAUCAGCUUGUCACCAUUGUCAUUCUUUCUUCAUUGGUUUAACUCAUUCCAGUGAAACACUGGAGAACCCAACAAGUCAUCUUCUAUCAGAAACUGGACAAAACCACCAGCUGUUUUCAGACAAAAGCGAGUAGAGCACAUAUUGC